Tinamus guttatus (white-throated tinamou) is the source of this 258-nucleotide non-coding RNA. NCBI's taxonomy places the organism in Eukaryota, Metazoa, Chordata, Aves, Tinamiformes, Tinamidae. The record is from RefSeq and is a predicted model, not a curated record.
UGCUGCUGCGGCGCCGGCCAGGCGGACGCCCGGGACAGGGCGGCUGCGGCGGACGACGGCGUCGUGUCCCGCAUGAAGCACCACGUGCGGCGGGUGCUGGCCAACCUCAGCGCCAUGAUGCCCUGCGUCGCCCUGGGCGGCUCCAAGCUCCCCAAGGUCACAGUUUCCCACCACGACGCAGAGAUCCCCUUCAACCCCAGCUUCAUCGAGCCGCCGUCCGCCGCCUGGGUCUCCGACAGCUCCUUCUCCUCCUUCGAC